GAUGAACGCUAGCGGCAGGCCUAAUACAUGCAAGCCGAACGGCAAGUUUGAUAGCAAUAUUGGACCUAGAGUGGCGCAAGUGUGCGUAACACGUAUGCAACCUGCCCGCGACAGGAGGAUAGCUCCCCGAAAGGGGAAUUAACCCUCCAUAACACCAUGAGAAGGCCUCUGAUUAUGGUUAAACCGCAAGGGGUCGCGGAUGGGCAUGCGGUUGAUUAGCUAGUUGGCGGGGUAAAGGCCCACCAAGGCGGUGAUCAAUAGGGGUUCUGAGAGGAAGGUCACCGGCACUGGGACUGGGAUACGGGUCAGACGCCUACGGGAGGCAGGAGUAGGGAAGAAGGGACCAUGGUUGCAAGACUGAACCAGCCAGGCAGUGUGGAGGAAGAAGGCCUUCUGGGUCGCAAACUGCUUGGUCCUGUAGAUAAAAAACCCGUGAGGGGGGAAUUGAAGGUAACAGGGGAAUAAGCCACGGCUAACUACGUG
This 483-nucleotide ribosomal RNA is filed under the name uncultured bacterium. Its description in RNAcentral is "partial 16S ribosomal RNA". It matches the Rfam family "Bacterial small subunit ribosomal RNA", at positions 28 to 507 of the family's 1533-position model. The record is from RNAcentral.